UGCGCGGAAGAUGUAACGGGGCUAAACCAUGCACCGAAGCUGCGGCAGCGACACUAUGUGUUGUUGGGUAGGGGAGCGUUCUGUAAGCCUGCGAAGGUGUGCUGUGAGGCAUGCUGGAGGUAUCAGAAGUGCGAAUGCUGACAUAAGUAACGAUAAAGCGGGUGAAAAGCCCGCUCGCCGGAAGACCAAGGGUUCCUGUCCAACGUUAAUCGGGGCAGGGUGAGUCGACCCCUAAGGCGAGGCCGAAAGGCGUAGUCGAUGGGAAACAGGUUAAUAUUCCUGUACUUGGUGUUACUGCGAAGGGGGGACGGAGAAGGCUAUGUUAGCCGGGCGACGGUUGUCCCGGUUUAAGCAUGUAGGCUGAUUGUCCAGGCAAAUCCGGAUAAUCAAGGCUGAGGUGUGAUGACGAGGCACUACGGUGCUGAAGUAACAAAUGCCCUGCUUCCAGGAAAAGCCUCUAAGCAUCAGGUAACAU
Molecule: ribosomal RNA, 475 nt
Filed under: Klebsiella pneumoniae
Lineage: Bacteria; Pseudomonadati; Pseudomonadota; Gammaproteobacteria; Enterobacterales; Enterobacteriaceae
Description: bacterial LSU rRNA
Rfam family: Bacterial large subunit ribosomal RNA
Source: RNAcentral